CUACGGGCCGCAGCAGUGGGGAAUCUUAGACAAUGGGGGAAACCCUGAUCUAGCCAUGCCGCGUGAGCGACGACGGCCCUAGGGUUGUAAAGCUCUUUCAGCAGGGAAGAUAAUGACGGUACCUGCAGAAGAAGUCCCGGCUAACGCCGUGCCAGCAGCCGCGGUAAUACGGAGGGGACUAGCGUUGUUCGGAAUUACUGGGCGUAAAGCGCGCGUAGGCGGAUUGUUAAGUCGGGGGUGAAAGCCCGGGGCUCAACCCCGGAACUGCCCUCGAUACUGGCAGUCUUGAGUUCGAGAGAGGUGAGUGGAAUUCCGAGUGUAGAGGUGAAAUUCGUAGAUAUUCGGAGGAACACCAGUGGCGAAGGCGGCUCACUGGCUCGAUACUGACGCUGAGGUGCGAAAGCGUGGGGAGCAAACAGGAUUAGAUACCCUCGUAGUC
RNAcentral lists this ribosomal RNA (439 nucleotides) under uncultured bacterium. Its description in RNAcentral is "partial 16S ribosomal RNA". It matches the Rfam family "Bacterial small subunit ribosomal RNA", at positions 339 to 795 of the family's 1533-position model. The record is from RNAcentral.